AUUGGGUGUUUUUCCCCCAAAUCCCAUCCAGACGUGUCGGGGAACCACCCUCUAGGCGUGUUUGGCUGAUUUUUGUGUUCAGUAGCGAAGCUUGAACAUUUUCACCGGGGGUCAGAAGUCACCAAACCUAAAACUAUACACCUAAAAUUUUUUUAUAUAUAAAAUCGGGGGGUCGAAAACGUAUAUACCUAAAAAAUUCUAUACGAAACGUACAUACAUAACACUAUUGAGCGAAAAGUUCGGGGGGUCGGGCGCCCCAUGCCCCCUUCAAUGCUUCGCCCCUGUUUGUGUUUUGGCGUAUUUCAAAUCACGCUUGGAGCAAUUUUGAAUGGACAAUCAUAUUUAAUCUUCCUUUUUUGGCCAAUAGCUUUUUUUUGUUGGUUUUUUAUUUUAUUUAAUUCUUUACACCCUUUUAACAUAAUGCCCACAUCACCACUACACCUAUUUUAGAAAAAUGCCCAAUAAUUUCCCUUGCUGGCUGUACUGCCACAUGGCGGAAAACGCCCAAGGGUGGGGGUAUUAUUCACCCUGAGGCUGGAGGGUGUGGUUGGAGCUCCCUAGGGGCUUUAUCAGGCCAUGUAAGCGACACCUAAGAUCCACCUCAGCCAUGGGGCUUUAUCACGCCCCCCUUUAAUUUGCAAGGUGUGGAUGGAGCCCCCUAUUAAACAAAAUAAAAAAAAAGAAAAAGAUUUGAUUAGCUCAGAGAUGUGGGCCCCACGUGAUAAAGCCCCCUCUAUAGCACCCUCUUUAAUUCAGAUAGUGUGGUUGUAUAGCGCCCCGGGGCGCUAUAGUUGAUGAGUUGGCUGGUGUGGCGCCCCCACACCCUCCAGUCUUACCACUACGCAUGGUCUGAGGUUAAUUUAAGAGUAAAUACACUUAUGUCAAUUACUCUCAAUAAAGUCCCUCCAUCAAAUGACUGUUAGUCAACAGUUUGGAUUAUGAUUAAAAGACAAACUAUCCUUAAGAGACAAAAACUGCGAUAAUGUAACACCCCAAAAACCGGUAUUUAAUUAAAGUAAAUGAAAAUGAACAAAAAGUAACCUAGUUAAUGGGUUAUGAUAAGAAAUAAGUUAAAAAUUUGAAGUAAUGCUUAAAUUAAAUACUUAUCAAUUUAGAAGGGGGUUAAUGUGUAAGAUUUUAAUAAUUAGGGUUUUAUAGUGGUAAACCCACAAACACACUCCUGUGUGCGUACCUGGGAGCGAUCGAACAGAAGAAACAAGGGUGAAAACCCUUGUUCAUGCUAAUCUACUCAAUUAAUCAAGAAAUUCAAGUCUAAAUCAGUUGCAUGUCUCAAGUUUAUCGAUUAUCUAUGCAUACAUAGUGAAGUGGUGUGAAAGAAGAAGGUUCGAAUUCCAAGAAAUCGGAAGGAUCACAAGACCGAGGUAAAUCCUCGACUUAGACGAUUGGACGGCUUGGAACGUGCACACUUGGUUUACGCCCGCCUCACGCUUCCGUUAUAAAUUACUUUUGAAAUGGGUCAAUUUUGUGGUUGUAUGUACUUUAAGUCCAUGUAGUAUGUUGUUGUCUUGUCGUAGGGUAAAAACUUAGUAGUUGUAGUCAUAUCGGGUCUAAUGUAAGCUUUGCCCGUUUAGGGAAUUGUCAAGAUGGUUAAACUUUGAA
Helianthus annuus (common sunflower) is the source of this 1620-nucleotide long non-coding RNA. RefSeq lists it as uncharacterized. The transcript is spliced from 3 exons. The record is from RefSeq and is a predicted model, not a curated record. Lineage: Eukaryota; Viridiplantae; Streptophyta; Magnoliopsida; Asterales; Asteraceae.